This 500-nucleotide ribosomal RNA is filed under the name uncultured bacterium. RNAcentral describes it as "partial 16S ribosomal RNA". It matches the Rfam family "Bacterial small subunit ribosomal RNA", at positions 28 to 507 of the family's 1533-position model. The record is from RNAcentral.
GACGAACGCUGGCGGCGUGCCUAAUACAUGCAAGUCGUGCGGACCUUGUUGAAAGCUUGCUUUUAAAAGGUUAGCGGCGGACGGGUGAGUAACACGUGGGCAACCUGCCUGUAAGACUGGGAUAACGCCGGGAAACCGGGGCUAAUACCAGAUCGUUUUUUCCUCCGCAUGGAGGAAAAAGGAAAGGCGGCUUCGGCUGCCACUUACAGAUGGGCCCGCGGCGCAUUAGCUAGUUGGCGGGGUAAUGGCCCACCAAGGCAACGAUGCGUAGCCGACCUGAGGGGGUGAUCGGCCACAUUGGGACUGAGACACGGCCCAAACUCCUACGGGAGGCAGCAGUAGGGAAUCUUCCGCAAUGGACGAAAGUCUGACGGAGCAACGCCGCGUGAGUGAAGAAGGCCUUCGGGUCGUAAAACUCUGUUGCCGGGGAAGAACAAGUGCCGUUCGAACAGGGCGGCGCCUUGACGGUACCCGGCCAGAAAGCCACGGCUAACUACGUG